Molecule: ribosomal RNA, 364 nt
Filed under: uncultured eukaryote
Lineage: Eukaryota
Description: partial 18S ribosomal RNA
Rfam family: Eukaryotic small subunit ribosomal RNA
Source: RNAcentral
CAAAAGCGUAUAUUAAAGUUGUUGCAGCUAAAAAGCUCGUAGUUGAACCUUGGGCUUGGCUGGCCGGUCCAUCUUUUUUGAUGCGUACUGGACCCAGCCGAGCCUUUCCUUCUGGCUAGCCUUUUGGCGAACCAGGACUUUUACUUUGAAAAAAUUAGAGUGUUCAAAGCAGGCCUUUGCUCGAAUAUAUUAGCAUGGAAUAAUAGAAUAGGACGUUAUGGUUCUAUUUUGUUGGUUUCUAGGACCAUCGUAAUGAUUAAUAGGGACGGUCGGGGGUAUCAGUAUUCAGUUGUCAGAGGUGAAAUUCUUGGAUUUACUGAAGACUAACUACUGCGAAAGCAUUUACCAAGGACGUUUUCAUUAA